This is an RNA transcript of Tripterygium wilfordii, 2228 nucleotides long. It is a transcript of the gene named transcription termination factor MTERF15, mitochondrial-like, with no coding region annotated. The record is from RefSeq and is a predicted model, not a curated record. NCBI's taxonomy places the organism in Eukaryota, Viridiplantae, Streptophyta, Magnoliopsida, Celastrales, Celastraceae. The transcript has 3 exons.
UUCCCUCAUCUCCAUGACCCACCCCAAAAAAAUUUCCUAGACCCUAAAAUUCCCAUCUCCAUGAUUGCCUUUCGAUUUGUGCAAUUCUGCAUCUUCGAUUUAGUAUCCAGAAGUUGUUAGUGAACGAGUAGAAAACCUUUCAUUUGGGGUUCGGAAAGCACUAGUGCACAUUUGCAAUGCAAGUUUUGUCGGAAAUUUUCAACGGUGAGUUCGUUCUGAGCUAGCUCUAAUCAUCUUCUUCUGCUCUGCUUGAUCCAUUUCUCUCGCAAUGUUAAGUUAUCAAUGGACCAAAAGACUGCAAAUUCCCUUACGAAACUUGAAUACUCAUUUCGGAUGUUUGAUAUCCGUGGAAUCUCUUAUUAUCACCAAAUCGUUUUCGUCAAGUAAUAAGGAGAAUACAAUAGCAGGCCAGGAAGAGAAACAACUGCCAUUUACUUUGUCUUACCUCAUAAACUCAUGUGGGUUUUCCUUAGAGAGUGCGAAAUCCUUGUCCAAGCAUGUCAAAUUUGAAAACCCUAAGCGACCAGAUUCUGUUAAUGAAGUUCUCAGAGACCACGGAUUCACCAAUGCCCAAAUCUCCAAACUCAUCAAGAUAAGACCAAAGCUUCUUUUGGCCGACAAGGAGAAGACCCUUUUACCCAAAUUUGAGUUUCUUCAGUCUGUGGGGAUUUCAGGAGCUGCUCUUGCAGACAUGGUAUGUUCAAGCCGGACCAUCUUGCGCCAUAGCCUAAAGAAUCGAAUCGUCCCUUAUUAUAAUUUCUUAAAGAACUUGCUCAAAGAUGAUAAGAAGGCUGCACUUAUGCUAAAGCGUGCAGCUUGCGUCAGAGAUUUUCAUAAUACUGCUGCUUCCUGUAUCUCACUCUUACAACGUCAUGGAGUACCACAUUUGUCUAUAUUACGACUCCUUAGACAUGAUGUUGCUGUGCUGUUCUUCAAGGCUGAGAAGUUUGAUGAAUUUGUCAAGAUGCUUAGUGGAAUGGGCUUUGACCCUUUGGAUAAGAAUUUUAUCCUUGCACUUAGGGUAGUUUCUGGAUUGAGUGGUGAAUCAUGGGAACGCAAAAUGAAAGCCUUCAAGGAGUGGGGUUUGUCCAAAGAUGAGAUCUUGUUAGCUUUUAGACGGUUUCCCCCUUUUAUGGCUUUGUCUGAGGAGAAUAUCUCAAGAAAAAUAGAAUUUCUUGUGACCAAAAUGGGUUGGGAUCCAGCAGCUGUUGUCAAAGUACCAUGUGUUCUAGUUCAUAGUAUGGAGAAAAGGAUCAUCCCCAGGUGUUCAGUAAUUCAGGCUUUGCUUUUCAAAGGGUUAAUCAAGGAAAAACCCCCAUUAUCAAGUUUUUUAAUUCCCAUUGACAAGCUCUUUCUGGAGAGGUUUGUGAAUAGAUACCAAGAGCAGGAGCCCCAACUGUUGGAUAUAUUUAAAGAGAAAAUGAAAGUCUCUGAUUUGGGAAUUGGAUUUGAAGGAUUAUAUGAAUUGACACCAUUGUAGCAUGAGGAAUAUCAAUUUCAUCACAUCAUCCCUGCUCUUCUAUGUGUAGUUCUGUUUGUGCAUUUUGACUAUCUACUCUGUUCAGACAUCUAGCUUUCAAACUAGUUAAUGUCGUAAUUUUGGAGACAUAGAUGAAGCUAAUAAGGACCGAGUUGCUGGUGAUGGCAUGGCUUCACUUUCGCCUGUUACUUGCUUUAAGCUUUCUGGAAAUAUAAUUGCAACUUAUCCGGUUGCAAUUACAUAUCUUACCAGUUACAAGUUAUCGAUCAUGCUCAUAGGUGCUGCUUCUUUGAAUUUUUUGUUUGGUUGCAGGUUGACAAAGCCCUUCUCAUGCAACAAGCACUUUGGAGGGAGCUCUUGUAAAUGCUUCAAUAGCUUCCUUCUUUGAGAGAACCUACUUAUUCAUUUACUGUUAGCUUCAAGUCCAAAAUUUUCCUUGAAUCAAAUAUUAGAAAAAUGGGUUGACAAAUCCAUUUUCAUGUCAACAAGCACAUUGGAGGGGCUUUUGAAAAUGCUUCAACAACUUCCCAGUCUGGAGAUACCCUUUUUGUACGCCUUGUUCAUUUACUGUUUGCUUUAAGCUCAGAUUUUUCUUUCAAGCGAAGAGGGGGGAAAAUCCGAGUAAAAUGCUGUGUAAGAACUUUAUUCAUUGAAUCUGUGGAGAGGUAUAAAUUAUUCAGUUAAUAAGUUAUUAAAGUAUCUGGAUUCCUUUCUAUCCUCCCCUUUUUGUGUUUGUUUUCUUGUAUAU